RNAcentral lists this long non-coding RNA (1437 nucleotides) under Homo sapiens (human). RNAcentral's name for it is "HSALNT0360326". Lineage: Eukaryota; Metazoa; Chordata; Mammalia; Primates; Hominidae. The record is from RNAcentral.
CGCCAAAGUGGGAGCCCAGGCAGAGGAGGCGCCGAGAGCGAGCGAGGGCUCUGAGGACUGCCAGCACGAUGUCACCUCUCAAUAAGACUAAGGUCAGCCUGGCGGAUAAACCUUGGAGUCUCCUGGGCCCAUUCCCAUGGCAACAUGGGCCUAUGAAGAAGCCAGAUGGGACGGAGCUUAUAACAACAACCUUCUAAGGAGAAUACAUCAAACAAUAUUACCUUGAAACAAGCAGGCACCUCUGCAAGAGAGUGAAUUCUGGAUCAAGCAACAGUUUCUUUAUGUCACUGUGGAAGAAAUCCGGACAAAAGUGAGACAAAAGUUUUCAAUCAAACAAUAAAGCAUGGGGGUUGAUCAAUAUACUCUUGAAAUGAAAAAUUCCAGUCAAAUAACAUGUUUAGAAUUUACACAAGACAAGGUACUUUACCAUGACCCUGAAAUUAUAAAAGUUGAAGGGGGCUGAGAGUGUUCUCAAGGCUUGGAGAAGCAGCAGCUUUCAGCCACCACAGGGAGCUGCAGCGCUCUCAUUUCUGGUUUAUAGGCUUACAACAGUUUUUGAAAGUAUUAGCUGCCUAACUACUGGAACAAGAAUGCCAUUGUUGAAAAAAUCAUCAAGAACAGUAAAUACUUUAAAGAAGAUGACAUUCGUAAUUUAUUCUGAAACUAUUCCAAAAAUAAAGUAUCUAAGGAAGAAUGGCUUGUGCUUUUAUAAGUUCGUAUUUCUAAAAUAGUAAAAUACUGAAUAUUCACAAAUCAGAAAGGAAGACAUUCUUUAAAUCUAUAGUUUCCCAUUUAAACAUAAAUGUUAAUCUUUGCAUAGAAAAAACUAAUUAUUUUGAAUUUUCCGUCAAUAAAAUAUCAUGCUUAAUUUGUUAAAUACUAUAAUUAUAUGUAACAGAUUCUAGAUUGCAAAAAUGUGUUACGCUUUCCCCAAGAACUCCUUGUAGACCCAUAUUUUUUCCUUUCUUAUUCCCAGUACAUUCUGUUAAAUGCCCUUGGCUCUAGGGAGCACAUUAAUUUCUUAGCCAGACCUGUGCACACCAGCACCUGACACAGAGAACUCAUUUUAGAAGCGGGAAGCAGACCCAGAAUCACCCUGCGAUUCGUCUCCCGCUGUGAGGCUUCAUGGAGGUUUGUAGUAGAGGCAAGCUGAGCUACAAGGAUGCUCCCACUAUGCAUCUAGUCCUGCCUUGAUGUGAGAUCAGAGCAGCUGGUGCUCAUGAACUUGGUGAAGACAGAUGCUCUGUCACUGUAACUACUGAAUAAGUACUUUUUCUGCAAAACACAGACUCUAACGGGAAGCAAACCUCUAAACAGAAUGGUCUCUUCUUGGGCCACUAAUAUUUUCUAAAACGUAACUUAUUUUAAUUUUGAAUUGCAUUUAAAGUUGAAUUGCAUUUUUCUUUCUCAUAUUCCUAUCUUCUAAUGAAACAUGGA